Long non-coding RNA from Stylophora pistillata, 346 nucleotides. The record is from RefSeq and is a predicted model, not a curated record. Lineage: Eukaryota; Metazoa; Cnidaria; Anthozoa; Scleractinia; Pocilloporidae.
GGUCUUGUUCAAACAGAUGAUAGAUCAGCCUUAUUAGAGAUAACAAGACAACUACAAUUAGAAAAUGUAGUUGGGGACAAAGUAUUUGGCUCUUUUGCUGAAAACUUUGCUUUUUUGCUUGAUUCACUGAAGAGCGGUGGAGAGGAGAGCCAGUCAAUCUUGUUUAUUAUGGAUGAGUUUGACCUGUUUACUAACCACAAGAACCAAUCCCUGUUAUAUAAUUUAUUUGAUGUGUCACAGUCAGCCCAGACUCCAAUAUGUGUUGUAGGACUUACUUGCAGACUGGUAAUGAAAUCACAAAAUUAUGUAUCCAUAGCAAAGCCAUGCUUUUACUUUAAAAGGUUUG